Molecule: long non-coding RNA, 350 nt
Organism: Carassius carassius (crucian carp)
Lineage: Eukaryota; Metazoa; Chordata; Actinopteri; Cypriniformes; Cyprinidae
Exons: 3
Source: RefSeq, a predicted model, not a curated record
CCACGCUGCGGCAGACGGAGACGCUGAAGAGGGACUUCAGCAGCCUGAUCGAGACGGUUCGCAGCACGACGCCCGCGGCGACGAUUGUCGUGUCAGGACCACUGCCCACGUAUCGACGAGGACACGAAAGGCUGUUUCGCGCUGAUGGAUUACACCCCAGCAGAAUCGGAGCGGAGCUGCUCUCUGACAACAUCUCCAGGACACUUCGCUCCAUGUGACUAGAUUUACACAAGCUCCAGUCUGGAUCCAGAACACCUGAGAAGAGAUGAUGCUGACCCUCAGAGGACCCCAGAUGAUGCUAACCUUGAAUCAACAAACAGAACUAACAAUUAUUGCUACAUGUGUGACUG